ACGAACGCUGGCGGCGUGCCUAAUACAUGCAAGUUGAGCGCUGAAGGUUGGUACUUGUACCAACUGGAUGAGCAGCGAACGGGUGAGUAACGCGUGGGGAAUCUGCCUUUGAGCGGGGGACAACAUUUGGAAACGAAUGCUAAUACCGCAUAAAAACUUUAAACACAAGUUUUAAGUUUGAAAGAUGCAAUUGCAUCACUCAAAGAUGAUCCCGCGUUGUAUUAGCUAGUUGGUGAGGUAAAGGCUCACCAAGGCGAUGAUACAUAGCCGACCUGAGAGGGUGAUCGGCCACAUUGGGACUGAGACACGGCCCAAACUCCUACGGGAGGCAGCAGUAGGGAAUCUUCGGCAAUGGACGAAAGUCUGACCGAGCAACGCCGCGUGAGUGAAGAAGGUUUUCGGAUCGUAAAACUCCGUUGGUAGAGAAGAACGUUGGUGAGAGUGGAAAGCUCAUCAAGUGACGGUAACUACCCAGAAAGGGACGGCUAACUACGUG
This 496-nucleotide ribosomal RNA is filed under the name uncultured bacterium. Its description in RNAcentral is "partial 16S ribosomal RNA". It matches the Rfam family "Bacterial small subunit ribosomal RNA", at positions 29 to 507 of the family's 1533-position model. The record is from RNAcentral.